AAUUAUAUGGUUGGGAUGAUUAAGGUCUCCACAGGGUGAUAAAGUUAAUUCAAAUGUUAAAAAUAAUUAAAAGGGUUGAUUUAAAAACAAAAAAAUCGAAAGCAUCAUAUUCUCUAUAUUUUCGAUAGCAUAGUAGCUCUACUCCAAUCUGUAUAUACACCAUACUAGAUAAAUAAUUAUUGGAUAAGCAGACAGUUUUUGUUAUUUCUAAAGAAGA
Molecule: long non-coding RNA, 217 nt
Filed under: Ananas comosus (pineapple)
Lineage: Eukaryota; Viridiplantae; Streptophyta; Magnoliopsida; Poales; Bromeliaceae
Description: long non-coding RNA (ACOM_LNC033867)
Source: RNAcentral